RNAcentral lists this unclassified non-coding RNA (1919 nucleotides) under uncultured fungus. Its description in RNAcentral is "sequence contains 18S rRNA gene, ITS1, 5.8S rRNA gene, ITS2, 28S rRNA gene". The stretch from base 766 to 1919 matches the Rfam family "Eukaryotic large subunit ribosomal RNA", at positions 1 to 961 of the family's 3401-position model. Lineage: Eukaryota; Fungi. The record is from RNAcentral.
GGAAGGAUCAUUAACACGUUUCACAACGUAUCAACCAAACCGCGAACUAUGAACGUUUCUUUUAUUCAUGUUUUGGAAGGGCUGUUGGCCGGACGGACAUGGCUGUCAUGGCUAUGUUGAACAGAAGUAGUGCGCAAGCGCUACCUCUGUGUACGACCAGCCACUCCCCUUCUAUGAACAUGUCUUAUUUAACCCAAACCCAUUUGUUUAUUCAUUUAUUCUUAAAGAUACGCCCUUGUGGCGAGUCUUUAAUACAAACUUGUACAACUCUUAGCAACGGAUAUCUUGGUUUCCGCAUCGAUGACGAACGCAGCAAACUGCGAUUACUCUUGCGAAUUGCAGAGCUCAGUGAAUCAUCAAACCUUCGAACGCAUCUUGCGCCAUCCAGCUCUUCGGAGUACGGAUGUGCACGUCCCAUUCAGUUUCAUUUACAUCUCUCACAACCCAGUGUUGUGGUGCAGGCUUUGAGUGUUUCACGCUACAUUCAUUUGUAGGGUGUCACUUUAAACAUGUCGCAUUGGACCCCAUGUUAUGUGGGUGAGAAAUUCAAUUUCUCGGUGUCCAGCACUUUGGCUCGGCAUCGCAUUGAUCAAUGCUUUGCCCCCGCUUUAACUUCCGAAAGGAAGGGUGAUGGUACCCUCUGGGAAGACUCUUAACCGAGUUCUCUGAGAAAUACGAGUUUUGAGUGCCUGUAAAAAGGCAGCCAAGUCAUAAUAAGGGUGCGAAACGUUCCUCAUAAAAAAAGCAUCGUCUUUUUUUGUAAUCCGAUCUGAAUUGGGAUGAGAAGACCCACUAAAUUUAAGCAUAUUAUUCAGUGGAGGAAAAGAAACUAACAAGGAUUCCCCUAGUAACGGCGAGUGAAGCGGGAAUAGCUCAAUUUUAAAAUCCUGUGUCCACAUGGGCUCGGGAGUUGUAAUCUGAAGACGUGUGGUCAGCGUGUGACUCGGGUAUAACUCCCUUGGAAAGGGGGAUCAUAGAGGGUGAUAAUCCCGUCUUUGACUCGAAGUUCGCCGCGUACGAUACACGUUCUACGAGUCGAGUUGUUUGGGAGUACAGCUCUAAAUGGGUGGUAAACUUCAUCUAAAGCUAAAUAUUGGCGGAAGACCGAUAGCGAACAAGUAGCGUGAGCGAAAGAUGAAAAGAACUUUGAAAAGAGAGUUAAAAAGUACUUGAAAUUGCUAAGAGGUAAGUUAUGGAAACCAGUCCUUCCUGGGGCUAUACUUAGCUUUCCGUCGGAGUGAGACAUGAUUGCGGCGAGUCUUUACGGGCCGACGUUUUUGUGCCAGAUCUUCGGCGGGGGUGUCCUGUAGCUUUGGGUGUGUCAGAAUCACUUUGCUCAGUCGGAGAAAGCUAGUGGGAAGGUGGAGAGUUAUGGGGUUCGCUUCAUUUCUCUCGUUAUAGCCCAUUAGUUAUACGGCGAAGUAGAGUGAGGAAACGAUAAGGCACCCGUCCUCGUGGCGGAAUUAGCACCUAUAUCUACUCGGUCAGUGAGCUUGGACAGCAAAGCUGUGCGGUUUGCGAAGCUGGGUACUGUGUGGGGUUCGCUAUUCGUGUCCUUAGCGAUUCUGACGAAAUGGUUUUCAUUGACCCGUCUUGAAACACGGACCAAGGAGUCUAACAUAUAUGCGAGUAUUUGGGUGGCAAACCCUGAUGCGUAAUGAAAGUGAAAGCGGACUUGCGCCGCCGAGGUAGGAACUGCUCCUUCGGGGGUAGGGCACUAUCGACCGAUCGAUCACUUGUGAUAGAUUUGAGUUUGAGCAUAUCUGUUGGGACCCGAAAGAUGGUGAUCUAUGCCUGGGCAGGAUGAAGUCAGGGGAAACUCUGAUGGAAGUCCGCAGCGGUACUGACGUGCAAAUCGUUCGUCUGAUCUGGGUAUAGGGGCGAAAGACUAAUCGAACCAUCUAGUAGCUGGUUCCCUC